Molecule: ribosomal RNA, 1462 nt
Filed under: uncultured organism
Description: bacterial SSU rRNA
Rfam family: Bacterial small subunit ribosomal RNA
Source: RNAcentral
CUCAGGAUGAACGCUAGCGGCAGGCCUAAUACAUGCAAGUCGAGGGGUAACAUGGUCUUCGGACUGAUGACGACCGGCGGACGGGUGCGUAACGCGUAUGCAACCUACCCAUUACAGGAGGAUAGCCCGGGGAAACCGGAUUAUACCCCAUAAAGCAGGGGACUCGCCUGGGUCUAUUUGCUAAAGCUCCGAUACUAUCGGUGCGGUAAUGGAUGGGCAUGCGUCUGAUUAGUUAGUUGGUGAGGUAACGGCUCACCAAGGCGACGAUCAGUAGGGGUUCUGAGAGGAUGAUCCCCCACACUGGCACUGAGAUACGGGCCAGACUCCUACGGGAGGCAGCAGUAGGGAAUAUUGGUCAAUGGGCGAGAGCCUGAACCAGCCAUGCCGCGUGCAGGAAGACGGCCUUCUGGGUUGUAAACUGCUUUUCUACGGGGGUAAAAAUGUCUUGCGAGACAAAUUGUAAGUACCGUAGGAAUAAGCACCGGCUAACUCCGUGCCAGCAGCCGCGGUAAUACGGAGGGUGCAAGCGUUGUCCGGAUUUAUUGGGUUUAAAGGGUGCGUAGGCGGGCAAUUAAGUCAGUGGUGAAAGGCUACAGCUCAACUGUGGAAUUGCCAUUGAUACUGAUUGUCUUGAGUGCAGUUGAGGUGGGCGGAAUUUACGGUGUAGCGGUGAAAUGCAUAGAUACCGUAAAGAACGUCGAUAGCGAAGGCAGCUCACUAAGCUGUAACUGACGCUGAUGCACGAAAGCAUGGGGAGCGAACAGGAUUAGAUACCCUGGUAGUCCAUGCUGUAAACGAUGAUCACUCGCUGUUGACUUUAGUGGUCAGUGGCUUAGCGAGAGCGUUAAGUGAUCCACCUGGGGAGUACGUCCGCAAGGAUGAAACUCAAAGGAAUUGACGGGGGUCCGCACAAACGGUGGAGCAUGUGGUUUAAUUCGAUGAUACGCGAGGAACCUUACCUGGGCUCGAAUGGUAGGUGACGUUCGCCGAAAGGCGAAUUCCUUCGGGCGCCUAUCAAGGUGCUGCAUGGCUGUCGUCAGCUCGUGCCGUGAGGUGUUGGGUUAAGUCCCGCAACGAGCGCAACCCUUAUUCUUAGUUGCCAACAGUGCAAGCUGGGGACUCUAAGGAGACUGCCUGCGCAAGCAGAGAGGAAGGAGGGGAUGACGUCAAGUCAUCAUGGCCCUUACGCCCAGGGCUACACACGUGCUACAAUGGCGCAUACAGAGGGUAGCUACAGGGUAACCUGAUGCCAAUCUCAAAAAGUGCGUCUCAGUUCGGAUUGAGGUCUGCAACUCGACCUCAUGAAGUCGGAAUCGCUAGUAAUCGCAUAUCAGCCAUGAUGCGGUGAAUACGUUCCCGGACCUUGUACACACCGCCCGUCAAGCCAUGGGAGUUGGGAGGACCUGAAGAUGGUUGCCGCGAGGCGCUAUUUAGGGUUAACCAGCGACUGGGGCUAAGUCGU